RNAcentral lists this ribosomal RNA (402 nucleotides) under uncultured prokaryote. Its description in RNAcentral is "bacterial SSU rRNA". It matches the Rfam family "Bacterial small subunit ribosomal RNA", at positions 355 to 774 of the family's 1533-position model. The record is from RNAcentral.
UAGGGAAUAUUGGUAAUCUGGGAAACCGGGAACCAGCAACGCCGCGUGUGCGAUGAAGGCCUUCGGGUUGUAAAGCACUUUUUGAGGGGAUGAGGAAGGACAGUACCCUCAGAAUAAGCCUCGGCUAACUACGUGCCAGCAGCCGCGGUAACACGUAGGAGGCGAGCGUUAUUCGGAUUUACUGGGCGUAAAGCGCGUGCAGGCGGCUCGAUAAGUUGGAUGUGAAAGCUCCCGGCUUAACUGGGGGAGGGCGUUCAAUACUGUCGGACUAGAGGAUGGGAGAGGGAGGUGGAAUUCCGAGUGUAGUGGUGGAAUGCGUAGAUAUGCGGAGGAACACCAGUGGCGAAAGCGGCCUCCUGGCUCAAAUCUGACGCUCAGACGCGAAAGCUAGGGUAGCAAACG